UGAGGAAUAUUGGUCAAUGGGCGAGAGCCUGAACCAGCCAAGUAGCGUGCAGGAUGACGGCCCUAUGGGUUGUAAACUGCUUUUAUGUGGGGAUAAAGUGCGUGACGUGUCAUGCAUUGCAGGUACCACAUGAAUAAGGACUGGCUAAUUCCGUGCCAGCAGCCGCGGUAAUACGGAAGGUCCGGGCGUUAUCCGGAUUUAUUGGGUUUAAAGGGAGCGUAGGCUGUCUAUUAAGCGUGUUGUGAAAUUUACCGGCUCAACCGGUGGCUUGCAGCGCGAACUGGUCGACUUGAGUAUGCAGGAAGUAGGCGGAAUUCAUGGUGUAGCGGUGAAAUGCUUAGAUAUCAUGACGAACUCCGAUUGCGCAGGCAGCUUACUGUAGCAUAACUGACGCUGAUGCUCGAAAGUGCGGGUAUCAAACAGG
This 424-nucleotide ribosomal RNA is filed under the name Fusobacteriota bacterium. RNAcentral describes it as "Fusobacteria bacterium partial 16S ribosomal RNA". It matches the Rfam family "Bacterial small subunit ribosomal RNA", at positions 355 to 776 of the family's 1533-position model. The record is from RNAcentral. Lineage: Bacteria; Fusobacteriati; Fusobacteriota.